GCAGUCGAAGUCCUUGUUUUUCAGUGCUUUUCGCCCCGUCACGCCGGUCUUCGGAACCGGGGGUUGGAGGUUCGAAUCCUCCCGGGUGUA
Molecule: transfer RNA, 90 nt
Filed under: Fuerstiella marisgermanici
Lineage: Bacteria; Pseudomonadati; Planctomycetota; Planctomycetia; Planctomycetales; Planctomycetaceae
Description: Fuerstia marisgermanicae tRNA
Rfam family: tRNA
About the family: Transfer RNA (tRNA) molecules are approximately 80 nucleotides in length. Their secondary structure includes four short double-helical elements and three loops (D, anti-codon, and T loops). Further hydrogen bonds mediate the characteristic L-shaped molecular structure. tRNAs have two regions of fundamental functional importance: the anti-codon, which is responsible for specific mRNA codon recognition, and the 3' end, to which the tRNAs corresponding amino acid is attached (by aminoacyl-tRNA synthetases). tRNAs cope with the degeneracy of the genetic code in two manners: having more than one tRNA (with a specific anti-codon) for a particular amino acid; and 'wobble' base-pairing, i.e. permitting non-standard base-pairing at the 3rd anti-codon position.
Source: Rfam by way of RNAcentral